This is a non-coding RNA of Coturnix japonica (Japanese quail), 1047 nucleotides long. Lineage: Eukaryota; Metazoa; Chordata; Aves; Galliformes; Phasianidae. The record is from RefSeq and is a predicted model, not a curated record.
CUGGGAAAUCUGGAUGAGGAACAGAUGUGGCAGUGUGAAUGCAAAAAAGGUGCAGAGCAAAAGGGAGAGAAGCACAUCACCCCAUGCAUGGAACCACUCAGCUUUACAAAGGAACAGCCACAGUCAGAAAUCUGCACACAACUAUGGGUUCUGCAGGGAACACAGCCUGUGUUAGGACAGAGCUCCAAGAAACCAACCACAGCAAGGAUGCUGGUUCCACCUCUUCGUGCAACUCAUCUCAACAUUUUGUUGUCCUCAAAGGAAGCACCAGAGGCUCCAUUUUAGCAAUACCACGAGCAAAGAACUCAAGCAGCAUAGCAGCUCUGAGCAGCACUCCUGUGAAGAGCUGGGCCAACACAAGGGUAGAAUGGCACAUGGAGUCAGAGAGGUGCUGGGCACAGCAUGUGGUGUGGUAGAUCAGCAAUAGCAACAGAGCUGCGCACAAGAGCUUACACCCUUCAUUUUUAUAUUUGGACACCUAGAAUUACUGAAUGUAUUAUUUUGUUCUAUUACAGGAAGACAGACAGCCCAGCUGAUGUCUUUUUGGAGAAUCUAUUUUGCUAAGAGGGUCAGCAAUGUACAGACUUAUUGAGAUGCUGGUAAAAAGUGUCCCCCACGAUCUCUUUGAAGCCCAAAGAAGCAAUGAUGACUCAAGACCCAAAGAAUGGCUCAGGCUCUGCUGCAAAAACAAAAGGGAUGAGAUCCAAUGAAAGCGCUUAGCAUGGGAAGAGGAUGGCAGAACAAGGUUAAAAAUAUACAAGUUCCAAUGUUUAAAUGCAUCUUUUUUGCUCCACUUCAGAACUUGUGCAUAUCUGUGUGUUUGCAUGAGACUUCCUGGCUGUUGAGCUGAAAACACCAAUACUGCUUUUCUUUUUAUCUGCUCAGUGAGAGUUCAGUAACCUUCCCAUCUGCACACAUUGGCUUUGGGAAAACUAUUUGCACAGAACUGAUUUUUGUGUUUUGGCGAUCAUACACCAGUGCUAAUGACAGUGGACCUAUCUGGAAUUUGCACUCUGGAUUAUUAUUAUUAAUAAAUGUUACUUUGGA